RNAcentral lists this ribosomal RNA (252 nucleotides) under uncultured bacterium. Its description in RNAcentral is "partial 16S ribosomal RNA". It matches the Rfam family "Bacterial small subunit ribosomal RNA", at positions 525 to 776 of the family's 1533-position model. The record is from RNAcentral.
ACGGAGGGUGCAAGCGUUAUCCGGAAUCACUGGGUUUAAAGGGUGCGUAGGCGGCGCAAUAAGUCAGAGGUGAAAGGCCACAGCUCAACUGUGGGACUGCCUUUGAUACUGUAGUGCUUGAAUUAGGCUGAGGUCGGCGGAAUGUGACAUGUAGCGGUGAAAUGCUUAGAUAUGUCAUAGAACACCAAUUGCGAAGGCAGCUGACUAGACCUUAAUUGACGCUGAGGCACGAAAGCGUGGGGAGCGAACAGG